Molecule: ribosomal RNA, 604 nt
Filed under: uncultured Bacteroidota bacterium
Lineage: Bacteria; Pseudomonadati; Bacteroidota
Description: bacterial SSU rRNA
Rfam family: Bacterial small subunit ribosomal RNA
Source: RNAcentral
GUACUGAGACACGGACCAGACUCCUACGGGAGGCAGCAGUGAGGAAUAUUGGACAAUGGGAGCAAUCCUGAUCCAGCCAUGCCGCGUGCAGGAAGACUGCCCUAUGGGUUGUAAACUGCUUUUAUACAGGAAGAAAAAGGUGUACGUGUACACUGUUGACGGUACUGUAAGAAUAAGGAUCGGCUAACUCCGUGCCAGCAGCCGCGGUAAUACGGAGGAUCCAAGCGUUAUCCGGAAUCAUUGGGUUUAAAGGGUCCGUAGGCGGGACAAUAAGUCAGUGGUGAAAGUCUGCAGCUCAACUGUAGAAUUGCCAUUGAUACUGUUGUUCUUGAGUGCUUGUGAAGUGGUUAGAAUGAGUAGUGUAGCGGUGAAAUGCAUAGAUAUUACUCAGAAUACCGAUUGCGAAGGCAGAUCACUAACAAUUCACUGACGCUGAUGGACGAAAGCGUAGGUAGCGAACAGGAUUAGAUACCCUGGUAGUCUACGCCGUAAACGAUGGUUACUAGCUGUUCGGGUUAAUUGAGACCUGAGUGGCUAAGCGAAAGUGAUAAGUAACCCACCUGGGGAGUACGUUCGCAAGAAUGAAACUCAAAGGAAUUGACGG